This 254-nucleotide ribosomal RNA is filed under the name uncultured bacterium. Its description in RNAcentral is "partial 16S ribosomal RNA". It matches the Rfam family "Bacterial small subunit ribosomal RNA", at positions 100 to 353 of the family's 1533-position model. The record is from RNAcentral.
GACGGGUGAGUAACGCGUGGGUAACCUGCCCUGUACAGGGGGAUAACAGCUGGAAACGGCUGCUAAUACCGCAUAAGCGCACGAGGAGACAUCUCCUUGUGUGAAAAACUCCGGUGGUACAGGAUGGGCCCGCGUCUGAUUAGCUGGUUGGCAGGGUAACGGCCUACCAAGGCAACGAUCAGUAGCCAGUCUGAGAGGAUGAACGGCCACAUUGGAACUGAGACACGGUCCAAACUCCUACGGGAGGCAGCAUG